Long non-coding RNA from Antechinus flavipes (yellow-footed antechinus), 434 nucleotides. RefSeq lists it as uncharacterized. Lineage: Eukaryota; Metazoa; Chordata; Mammalia; Dasyuromorphia; Dasyuridae. The transcript has 3 exons. The record is from RefSeq and is a predicted model, not a curated record.
CAGAGGGUCGGGUACGGAUGGGACUCAGAGAGGGGGUGAAGGCAGAGGGUCGGGUACGGAUGGGACUCAGAGAGGGGGUGAAGGCAGAGAGCCGGGUACGGAUGGGACUCAGAGAGGGGGUGAAGGCAGAGAGCCGGGUACGGAUGGGACUCAGAGAGGGGGUGAAGGCAGAGAGCCGGGUACGGAUGGGACUCAGAGAGGGGGUGAAGGCAGAGAGCCGGGUACGGAUGGGACUCAGAGAGGGGGUGAAGGCAGAGAGCCGGGUACGGAUGGGACUCAGAGAGGGGGUGAAGGCAGAGGGUCGGGUACGGAUGGGACUCAGAGAGGGGGUGAAGGCAGAGGGUCGGGGUACGGAUGGGACUCAGAGGGGGUGAAGGCAGACAGCUGGGGCAGAGCUGGAACUUGGGGGUCGGGGGAGGCCGAGUUGGGCCCGG